UUUAAAUUGAGAGUUUGAUCCUGGCGCAGGACGAACGCUGGCGGCGUGCCUAACACAUGCAAGUCGAGCGAUGAAACUUUCUUCGGGAAGUGGAUUAGCGGCGGACGGGUGAGUAACACGUGGGUAACCUGCCUCAAAGAGUGGGAUAGCCUUCCGAAAGGGAGAUUAAUACCGCAUAACAUUAUUUUAUGGCAUCAUAAAAUAAUCAAAGGAGCAAUCCGCUUUGAGAUGGACCCGCGGCGCAUUAGCUAGUUGGUGAGGUAACGGCUCACCAAGGCAACGAUGCGUAGCCGACCUGAGAGGGUGAUCGGCCACAUUGGAACUGAGACACGGUCCAGACUCCUACGGGAGGCAGCAGUGGGGAAUAUUGCGCAAUGGGGGAAACCCUGACGCAGCAACGCCGCGUGAGUGAUGAAGGUUUUCGGAUCGUAAAACUCUGUCUUUAGGGACGAUAAUGACGGUACCUAAGGAGGAAGCCACGGCUAACUACGUGCCAGCAGCCGCGGUAAUACGUAGGUGGCAAGCGUUGUCCGGAUUUACUGGGCGUAAAGAGUAUGUAGGUGGGUGCUUAAGUCAGAUGUGAAAUUCCCGGGCUCAACCUGGGAGCUGCAUUUGAAACUGGGCAUCUAGAGUGCAGGAGAGGAAAGUGGAAUUCCUAGUGUAGCGGUGAAAUGCGUAGAGAUUAGGAAGAACACCAGUGGCGAAGGCGACUUUCUGGACUGUAACUGACACUGAGAUACGAAAGCGUGGGUAGCAAACAGGAUUAGAUACCCUGGUAGUCCACGCCGUAAACGAUGAAUACUAGGUGUCGGGGGGUACCACCCUCGGUGCCGCAGCAAACGCAUUAAGUAUUCCGCCUGGGGAGUACGGUCGCAAGAUUAAAACUCAAAGGAAUUGACGGGGACCCGCACAAGCAGCGGAGCAUGUGGUUUAAUUCGAAGCAACGCGAAGAACCUUACCUAGACUUGACAUCUCCUGAAUUACUCUUAAUCGAGGAAGUCCCUUCGGGGACAGGAAGACAGGUGGUGCAUGGUUGUCGUCAGCUCGUGUCGUGAGAUGUUGGGUUAAGUCCCGCAACGAGCGCAACCCUUAUUGUUAGUUGCUACUAUUAAGUUAAGCACUCUAACGAGACUGCCGCGGUUAACGUGGAGGAAGGUGGGGAUGACGUCAAAUCAUCAUGCCCCUUAUGUCUAGGGCUACACACGUGCUACAAUGGCUGGUACAA
This 1225-nucleotide ribosomal RNA is filed under the name Clostridium botulinum D/C. Its description in RNAcentral is "bacterial SSU rRNA". It matches the Rfam family "Bacterial small subunit ribosomal RNA", at positions 1 to 1242 of the family's 1533-position model. Lineage: Bacteria; Bacillati; Bacillota; Clostridia; Eubacteriales; Clostridiaceae. The record is from RNAcentral.